Molecule: ribosomal RNA, 1472 nt
Filed under: uncultured Bordetella sp.
Lineage: Bacteria; Pseudomonadati; Pseudomonadota; Betaproteobacteria; Burkholderiales; Alcaligenaceae
Description: partial 16S-23S ribosomal RNA intergenic spacer
Rfam family: Bacterial small subunit ribosomal RNA
Source: RNAcentral
GGGUUUGAUUCCUGGCUCAGAUUGAACGCUGGCGGGAUGCUUUACACAUGCAAGUCGAACGGCACGGACUUCAGUCUGGUGGCGAGUGGCGAACGGUGAGUAAUGACGGAACGUGCCUAGUAGCGGGAUAACUACGCUGAAACAGGUGCUAAUAUCGCAACAUACUCUUCGGGGAAAGCGGGGACCUCGGGCUCUCGCACUAUUAGAGCGGCCGAUAUCGGAUUAGCUAGCUGGUGGGUAACGGCUCACCAAGGCGACGAUCCAGAGUUGUUUGAGAGGUACACCAGCCACACUGGACUGGAGACACGGCCCAGACUCCUACGGGAGGCAGCAGUGGGGAAUUUUGGACAAUGGGGGAAACCCCGAUCCAGCCAUCUCGGCGUGUGCGAUGAAGGCUCUCAAGCAAAAGCACUUUUGGCAGGAAAGAAACGGCACGUGAUAAUACCCCGUGCAACUGACGGUACUCUGCAGAAUAAGCACUGGCUAACUACGUACUACAGCCGCGGUAAUACGUAGGGUGCAAGCGUUAAUCGGAAUUACUGGGCGUGAGCGUGCGCAUGCGGUUCGGAAAGAAAGAUGUGAAAUCCCAGAGCUUAAUCUGGAACUGCAUUUUUAACUACCGAGCUAGAGUGUGUCAGAGGGAGGUGGAAUUCCCGCGUGUAGCAGUGAAAUGCGUAGAUAUGCGGAGGAACACCGAUGGCGAAGGCAGCCUCCUGGGAUAACACUGACGUCAUAACGGAAAGCGUGGGGAGCAAACAGGAUUAGAUACCCUGGUAGUCCACGCCCUAAACGAUGUCAACUAGCUGUUGGGGCCUUCGGGCCUUGCAGCGCAGCUAAUCGCGGUUGACCGCCUGGGAGUACGGUCGCAAGAUUAAAAACUCAAAGGAAUUGACGGGGACCCGCACAAGCGGUGGAUGAUGUGGAUUAAUUCGAUGCAACGCGAAAAACCUUACCUUACCCUUGACAUGUCUGGAAUCCUGAAGAGAUUUGGGAGUGCUCGCAAGAGAACCGGAACACAGUGCCGUAUGGCUGUCGUCAGCUCGUGUCGUGAGAUGUUGGGUUAAGUCCCGCAUUCAGAGCGCAACCCUUGUCAUUAGUUGCUACGAAAGGGCACUCUUAACACGACUGCCGGUGACAAACCGGAGGAAGGUGGGGACAUUUGGUCCUCAUGGCCUUUAUGGGUAGGGCUUCACACGUCAUACAAUGGUCGGGACAGAGGGUCGCCAACCCGCGAGGGGGAGCCAAUCCCAGAAACCCGAUCGUAGUCCGGAUCGCAGUCUGCAACUCUCGACUGCGUGAAGUCGGAAUCGCUAGUAAUCGCGGAUCAGCAUGUCGCGGAAUACGUUCCCGGGUCUUGUACACACCGCCCGUCACACCAUGGGAGUGGGUUUUACCAGAAGUAGUUAACCUAACCGUAAGGAGGCGAUUACCACGGUAGGAUUCAUGAUCGGGGUGAAGUCGUAACAAGGUAA